CCGGGUAUAGCGCAGUCAGGUAGCGCACCUGCUUUGGGAGCAGGGGGUCGCAGGUUCGAAUCCUGCUGCCCGGA
RNAcentral lists this transfer RNA (74 nucleotides) under Candidatus Falkowiibacteriota bacterium. RNAcentral describes it as "tRNA-Pro". It matches the Rfam family "tRNA". From Rfam's summary of the family: Transfer RNA (tRNA) molecules are approximately 80 nucleotides in length. Their secondary structure includes four short double-helical elements and three loops (D, anti-codon, and T loops). The record is from RNAcentral. Lineage: Bacteria; Candidatus Falkowiibacteriota.